This 240-nucleotide non-coding RNA is filed under the name Ureibacillus massiliensis. RNAcentral's name for it is "Lysinibacillus massiliensis T-box sequence". It matches the Rfam family "T-box leader". From Rfam's summary of the family: Uncharged tRNA acts as the effector for transcription antitermination of genes in the T-box leader family. T-boxes are found upstream of many aminoacyl-tRNA synthetase genes and some amino acid biosynthetic genes usually in Gram-positive bacteria. The record is from RNAcentral. Lineage: Bacteria; Bacillati; Bacillota; Bacilli; Caryophanales; Caryophanaceae.
GUAAAAUUGAUGAAUAAGAAUAGUAGCGAAAUUCGCAUGGUUUAGAGAGCUAGUGGUCGGUGUGAACUAGUGCAUGCCUUUCGUGAAUGGGCCUUAUGAGAGCAGCUGGCAUUAGUCUGCUGACGUUUUUCCUACGUUAUAAGGAAGUGUUUUAAGUACUAGAUACCUAAAACACGCCAAGGUGGAAGUAAUUUAUAUUACUUCAACAGAGGUGGCAACGCGGUUUAAAUCGUCCUCUAC